UAACGAAACAAAUUUUUUUUUUCUCUCUCUCUCUCUGAAGAACGCUUCGACGACGGUGGAGGAGAUUCAUGUUAAACAAUCUUAAGAUUUGAUCUAGGGUUUUGAAGCACAUUCGACGGCUUGGUUUCUUCAUCUGAUUCGAAGUUCUCUAUUUCACUUUGAUGGGCAAACGGAGAUUAUGUUUCAGUCUAACCCAUGAAGCUUGUCUCAGCUUUCGACGAGGUAUAUGACUUUGAGUAGAGUUUAAGUGUAGCAGACUUCUUGACAGGCGAAUAUGUUUGCUACUUUUGCGAGGUUGUCUGUCGAGGAUUCUAGGAAAGCUUUUGUCUUCGAAGUUACCAGCUUCUUUCUUGCGUUUACAUUGAUGUGUUUGCAUCGACUUACAUAUCUUUCUCGUGUAUUUACUCAGUUGACUUGGCCGAGCUAUCACUUGAAAAAGAUAUGGUUUUAUGUUGAUAAGGUAAGUGCUUUGAAAGAUGUUGAUAUUCUCAUUGAUGCCAUGGAGAUUUUGUAAGUGUAGCAGAACUUAUUAUCUUAGUUGUCUUAAUAGCAUAACUAUCCUUUGAUCUAUCCUGUAAAAUUCUAGAAACUUAUUGUAUCAUUGAUAAGAAAAAAUGUUGAUUUUACUUCUGUGAGGCAGAUAAGGAAGAGUGUAUUAAUCAUUGGUAA
Capsella rubella is the source of this 669-nucleotide long non-coding RNA. RefSeq lists it as uncharacterized. NCBI's taxonomy places the organism in Eukaryota, Viridiplantae, Streptophyta, Magnoliopsida, Brassicales, Brassicaceae. The record is from RefSeq and is a predicted model, not a curated record. The transcript has 6 exons.